GCGCUGCCUUUGAGCCCCCGGCGCACCUCCUUGUGGUGCCGGGGGUUAAGCUGCGGCGCCACAGCAACUGCUGGCACAUAACUGGGGCCGCCUGCCCUCUUUAAUCGCUAGCCACAGGU
Acomys russatus (golden spiny mouse) is the source of this 119-nucleotide small nucleolar RNA. NCBI's taxonomy places the organism in Eukaryota, Metazoa, Chordata, Mammalia, Rodentia, Muridae. The record is from RefSeq and is a predicted model, not a curated record.